This 647-nucleotide ribosomal RNA is filed under the name Hymenogaster citrinus. RNAcentral describes it as "eukaryotic LSU rRNA". The stretch from base 263 to 416 matches the Rfam family "5.8S ribosomal RNA". The record is from RNAcentral. Lineage: Eukaryota; Fungi; Basidiomycota; Agaricomycetes; Agaricales; Hymenogastraceae.
CCUGCGGAAGGAUCAUUAUUGAAUGAACUUGGUGUGGUUGUUGCUGGCUCUCUUGUGGGGGCAUGUGCACACCCGCCAUCCUCAUCUCUCCACCUGUGCACCUCUUGUAGACCUGGAUGAAUUUUCCGAGGUAACUCGGUCGGGAGGAAUGCUGCGCUCUUUGCGUCGGCUUUCUUUGCACUUCCAAGCCUACGUUUUUUUCAUAUACCCGUAGUAUGUAACAGAAUGUAUCAUUGGGCCUAAGUGCCUAUAAACCUUAUACAACUUUCAGCAACGGAUCUCUUGGCUCUCGCAUCGAUGAAGAACGCAGCGAAAUGCGAUAAGUAAUGUGAAUUGCAGAAUUCAGUGAAUCAUCGAAUCUUUGAACGCACCUUGCGCUCCUUGGUAUUCCGAGGAGCAUGCCUGUUUGAGUGUCAUUUAAUUCUCAACCUUAUUAGCUUUUGUUGAUAAUGGCUUGGAUGUGGGGGUUUUCUUUUGCUGGCUUUCUUCGGAUGUCAGCUCCCCUUAAAUGUAUUAGCCGGUGCCCUGCGUGGACUAUCCGUUGGUGUGAUAAUUAUCUACGCCGUUGGAUGUCUGCAAAUAGGUUUUGCACCGCUUCUAACUGUCUGUUCAUUUGGACAAUACAUGACAAUUGACCUCAAAUCAGG